RNAcentral lists this ribosomal RNA (342 nucleotides) under uncultured soil bacterium. RNAcentral describes it as "bacterial SSU rRNA". It matches the Rfam family "Bacterial small subunit ribosomal RNA", at positions 26 to 388 of the family's 1533-position model. The record is from RNAcentral.
AGAACGAACGCUGGCGGCAUGCCUAACACAUGCAAGUCGAACGAGACCUUCGGGUCUAGUGGCGCACGGGUGCGUAACGCGUGGGAAUCUGCCCUUGGGUUCGGAAUAACAGCGAGAAAUUGCUGCUAAUACCGGAUGAUGACGUAAGUCCAAAGAUUUAUCGCCCAAGGAUGAGCCCGUCGUAGGAUUAGCUUGUUGGUGAGGUAAGAGCUCACCAAGGCGACGAUCCUUAGCUGGUCUGAGAGGAUGAUCAGCCACGACUGGGACUGGAGACACGGCCCAGACCUCCGUACGGGAGCAGCAGGUGGGAAUAGUUAGGACAAGUGGGCGCGAAGCCUAGGA